Molecule: transfer RNA, 83 nt
Filed under: Arthrobacter agilis
Lineage: Bacteria; Bacillati; Actinomycetota; Actinomycetes; Micrococcales; Micrococcaceae
Also listed under: 3 other names
Description: tRNA-Leu(tag)
Rfam family: tRNA
About the family: Transfer RNA (tRNA) molecules are approximately 80 nucleotides in length.
Source: RNAcentral
GCGCGAGUGGCGGAAUUGGCAGACGCGCUGGAUUUAGGUUCCAGUGUCUUCGGACGUAGGGGUUCAAGUCCCCUCUCGCGCAC